Poecilia latipinna (sailfin molly) is the source of this 643-nucleotide non-coding RNA. The record is from the annotation of a RefSeq genome assembly. NCBI's taxonomy places the organism in Eukaryota, Metazoa, Chordata, Actinopteri, Cyprinodontiformes, Poeciliidae.
UGGGAAUCAAUACAAUGAAUAAACGUGCCCUGAGGCAGGAGUGUGUGUUUGUGUGUGGGGCGGAGUUCAACAAAGGCGGUGCUUACUCAGGGCGGCAUGCACACUGGAGCUGCUGCUGGCUGUGAAGAGAACAACAGUCAGACUGAAUGUUGAACAUCAGCUGCUUUCUCCUGCUGGUUUAAACCUUGUUGGACAGAUGGAACAUUGGCUGUGGAUUAUUCUGGCUGCUCUUUUCUCUGAGUGUAAAGGAGACUCAGUGACGCAGACAGAAAGAGAAGUUGUUGCUGCUGCAGGAGAAACUCGGACUCUGGGAUGUACUUAUCAGACUAGUGAUACAACUCCUACGUUACUCUGGUAUAAACAAGAAGAAAACAGUUUCCCAAAGUACAUGCUGAAAGAAUAUGCUAAAAUGAGAGAUGAAGCUCUAGAGUUCAGCAAAGACAGAUUUGAUGCGAAGGUCAACAACUCAGAGUUUAACCUGACGAUCCAGGAUCUCCGUCCGUCAGACUCUGCUGUGUACUACUGCGCUCUGCAGCCCACAGUGACAGGAAACACCAGAACCCUGUGCAAAAACCUGCAGUACUGCACAGCGGCCACUAGAGGGCCUCACUCCCUGUUAAACCACUAAAACCUGCAGUACUCC